This 1666-nucleotide long non-coding RNA is filed under the name Pongo abelii (Sumatran orangutan). RNAcentral's name for it is "lincRNA". The record is from RNAcentral. Lineage: Eukaryota; Metazoa; Chordata; Mammalia; Primates; Hominidae.
CUUCUACCCGGGGGCUUCAGUGCAUCUGGCUUUAUCUCUGGGGUGCUUCCAUACAAAGGGGACAGAAGAAACGAUGGAAGGCCUCAGCACUGCAGGAGGGGAGACGGAUGUCAUCUACAAUCACACAAUACAUGGGAGGUCACAGAACGCCAGGGUGACGUAACAGUUCAAACCAUGGAAAGGUAACAGAGCCCUUGGCACGUCUCAACAUGUGGUGACACAGCUAAUAACCUGUGAUGCACACAUGGGAGCAAAUGCAUAGAAAAACUUGUCAAUGACACGGCAAAGUAAAACCCAAAUGAAGCCAGGUGAAAGAAUGGGCUGCAGCGCAGGCAAAACUGCACCACGUUACAGACUGCUCGCCUGGGAUGGAACGGUGGGGAGGUGCGCAGACGGAUGGACAAGCGCCUGGCAAAAUGGAUUUGGUUUCCUAGACCGCUAAUGCAACCAACAGUUCCCUCCUCACAGGGUCGCUAUAACGAGGUAACAUAAACAGCACUUAGAAGACGGCCUGACCCAGAAUAACACUAAUGUUCAUAUGGCUGCGACUCUCAGACCAAAAUCAAUGGCCGGUAUCUACUGAAACUUCAGCAAGACGAAACCACGGGAAUGGCGCUCCGUUGAGUAAAGCAACGCACAGCACAUCACAUCACAUCCUCCGUAGCGGGAGGCUCUGGCCUCACCCGAGCGGCACUUCCCGGAAGAGCCCAGGAUAUUCGGGGACCGGCACCGGAGAGCGGCCCAGGCCCCCUGGCGCCCAGCUGGCCGCCCUGUUGCAGCUCUCAUGCCAAGACCUGCGCCUAACGGCAGGGAUUCCGGCGGUCAUCAUUUAUUCUUGGCGCUAAGCUGCCGCUUCUCUUUUCUAUCACCACAGAGUAACGCAGACCCCAUCGUUUCCUUCCAUUCUGAGCCAACCACUCCAGCAGCCACCGGGGCGCCAGGUUAUGCUGGGGCUGCACCACCGGAUCCCAGGCUUUUGAAGCCACGCCCGGGCGCGGAGGAUGGGCAGGAUUUGCCCCGUGAACUCUCGCGCACGCAGGCUCCGCGCGAGGCCCGGGCGCCCGAGCGGGGAUUCCCUCCCCUAUCACCAGCUCUAGGGUGGUGUCCCCCGGCUGUGGAGCCCAGACCCCGGCCGUCCAGCAGCGUAUAGACGAGCCCCUGUCUGCGGCGUAACUGCACCGCGCUGGGGAUCCGCCUCCUACCGCCAGGGUGAGGGUGCCGUCCUCUAGCGUAUGCUACGCAGGCGCGCCCUGCCCUCCCGGUCACGUGCUAGUGCUUGGUCACGUGACCACGCCUACAGCCGAAGAGGAUGGAAAAAUGCCGCCCUGUUCCUGAACAGGAAGCGGAAGCAGGAAGGAACUGAGAACACCGGCAUCUGCUGCCGCCCUGAAUCAGCGUUAGCAUGUGGAGGUAACCUCAGCCCCCAGUUUUUGAAGAAGGUAAUUCAGAUUCAGACACAGGAAUUAUGGUGAGGGUAGAAAUGGACUGGAAGGUUCGUUCCCCUUGCCCACCAAGACUCCAGAGCAGGUGGGUUCCUGAUAUCUACUCUGCAUGAAGCCCUGGGCUUUCCGGACCUCCCUACUUUUCCUUAGAAUUCACAGCACAGCUGAGCCAAAAUGUAUUCCUGCCAAAACGGGCAUUUCCCGAAAGAAAGUAUUGUUUUAGA